RNAcentral lists this ribosomal RNA (507 nucleotides) under uncultured bacterium. RNAcentral describes it as "partial 16S ribosomal RNA". It matches the Rfam family "Bacterial small subunit ribosomal RNA", at positions 28 to 507 of the family's 1533-position model. The record is from RNAcentral.
GACGAACGCUGGCGGCGUGCCUAAUACAUGCAAGUCGAACGCAUUUUCUUUCACCGUAGCUUGCUACACCGGAAGAAAAUGAGUGGCGAACGGGUGAGUAACACGUGGGUAACCUGCCCAUCAGCGGGGGAUAACACUUGGAAACAGGUGCUAAUACCGCAUAAUUCCAUUUACCGCAUGGUAGAUGGAUGAAAGGCGCUUUUGCGUCACUGAUGGAUGGACCCGCGGUGCAUUAGCUAGUUGGUGGGGUAACGGCCUACCAAGGCUGCGAUGCAUAGCCGACCUGAGAGGGUGAUCGGCCACACUGGGACUGAGACACGGCCCAGACUCCUACGGGAGGCAGCAGUAGGGAAUCUUCGGCAAUGGACGCAAGUCUGACCGAGCAACGCCGCGUGAGUGAAGAAGGUUUUCGGAUCGUAAAACUCUGUUGUUAGAGAAGAACAAGGAUGAGAGUGGAAAGUUCAUCCCUUGACGGUAUCUAACCAGAAAGCCACGGCUAACUACGUG